This 396-nucleotide small RNA is filed under the name Vigna angularis var. angularis. RNAcentral's name for it is "Non-protein coding transcript". Lineage: Eukaryota; Viridiplantae; Streptophyta; Magnoliopsida; Fabales; Fabaceae. The record is from RNAcentral.
AAAAUUCAUAUAUGAGGAUUUAUACAAAACAAUGUGAUUAAUUUUUCUUAACAUUCCCAGUUAAAAAAAAACUAUGAUUAUUUAAUUAACUCUAGUGAAAAUUCGGCUGUCACAAACUGAGCCAAGGUUUUUCUACAGAAGUAGGUUACUUAUAAAUCAGCCAAUAGAUGUGUCUUUUAUGAUCAUUAUUCUAUAGUGCAGACUCAGAAAUUCUUUAUGCAGGUGGACAAGCUUAAAGGGGAACUAGAAACACAAAACAAGGAGAAAGGGAACACGGAAACUCGAGUGUUUGUUAGAGAAAAAAGUUAAUGACUUGAACUCAAAAUUAGAAGAUAUAUUUGAUGACAUGUCUUCAAUUGAGCAACAUGUCAUAAAGGAUAUUCGAGAGCAGUUGGU